AAAAUGCUUAAACAAUCCAUACGCAGUCAAAGAGAUAACCUGGGCAACUAAAAACAUCUUGUAGAUGAGCUGGAGAAAAUGGGACGGGAAAGAGACUAUUUAACCUUCCGAUGCAGGCAGUCUCAUAUGAAGAGUGGGAUGAUGGCGGGCUGCGGCCUGCUUGCUCUUAGGCAGCCUACCUUUCAAGCAAUAAUGGGUGGGAAUGAGACUUGACGAUGACUCCAAAAAAAAAGUGGUUGCGUAAUGGCGUCUGAACCUCUCAAGUUCAUCAAAAGGAAAGGAUGUGGAAACGCACGGCAAUCCGAACCAAAUCUCUGCUUAUUUUCUUUGGAAACAAAUAAGAAUGUGUCUGAAUAUAAAAGGAAGCAUGGCAUUGCUGUUUCAGAGGGCUGUGUUUGGCAGACAGGCAUAAGAACUUGACAUGGAUGAUCAGUGUCAGUGAUUAGGAGGUUGGACCACAUUACAUUAGCUCUAUCAGUCCACUACAGCAAGAUCCUCGAAAAAUAAGUCUAUUAUAGCAAGAUUCUCCAGUCAGUCAUACAACCAAAAGAGAUGGAUCAAAGCUGUACUGUACAGCUACAACAUGCCUUAUUGUACUCUCUUCAUUCAUUGAUUGAUUCUGCAAAUAAAGGUGAUUCACUUCACCGCAAAGAGAAGCCACUUUUGGCCUCCUCCAAAGUCCCAUCCCAUCAGGCGCAAAAACGGGCUCUAGAUCUCAGACCCUUUUAGUUUUGUUUCAGACAGUGCUGAAAUGGAACUACUAGUACAGAAGAAAUUGAAGUUACAAAAAUCACAACUAAGUACAAGUAGAGCUGAUGAAACAAAGAAUUGAUCAUGUGCAGACCGAAUAGUAAGUAGAUCGUCGUGCGGGGAAUUAGCAUCCGCGUCAUGCGAUUCGAUGCGACGCUGCCUGUGUGUUGAAGUGAUCAAGCUAGACGUACGUGUGUGAAAUGGGUGGGUGGAUCAAUCUCAGAAGGCGGUGCAGUUUGUGGGCAAGCCGGUGAUGUUAUCGACGGCGACGAGCUCCUUGGUGGCGCAGGUGAGGACGUCUUGCCCGAGCUUGGCGCCUGCGGACUUGAGCCCCUUGAGCGACACGGCCUGGUUGAAGAGGUUGACGACGGGCAGCUUGGACGCCGGUGGCAUCUUCCCCUGCGGCAGCAGCGGCGAGAAGUCGUCGGCGACGAGCGGCACCUCGAAGUCCGUCUUGUCGUGCUUGAGCAUGUUGUCCUUGGCGCUGAUGUGCGCGCCGGGCUCCAUGUGGUUGGUGGAGAAGCUCGUCUGGUUGGGGAAGUUGGGGUACAGGCUCACGUACCCGCGCAGGUACAUCAUGUCGAUGAGGAACUUCUUCCACGACGCCUGCCAGCCGUUGGUGCGCGACCUCGGGAUCUGCACGGGGUUCUUCUUGGCGUCCUCCGUGAAGCGCGCCGCCAUGUAGGCGUAGAACUCGCGCCAGUGCUUGGGGAAGAAGACGGCGCCCCAGCUGCAGGGGAGCUGGUGCAGGUAGGGCGUGUUUGGGUGCACCUUCCUGAAGAACUCGGUGGCGUUCCACUUGGGCCGCUCCUUCACCACCUCCACCAGCCGCGGCGUGUAGAGAGAGAUGGAGGAGAGCUCCGGCAAGGCCACGGCGGGGUCGUAGCGGUAGGCCAGCAGCGCGUACUUGACCCACAGGUAGUAGUAGGGGGACACCUCGAUGUCGUCCUCCAGGAGGAGGCCGUAGUCGUCGUCGGAGGCCGGGUACCAGCUCUCGCUCACGGCGCGGAUCAGGCCGCCCUGGAUGAUCCGACGCCGCAGCGUCUUGGGCCCGUGCGGCCAGUCGAAGGAGUUCACCACCUUGAGCGUCGACGCGUCCACCCGGCUGUCCAUGUUGAAGCUGAUGGGCACCUCGUCGCCCACGUAGUACGCGCUCCGCAGCGACGUCAGCAGCCGCAGCAGCGACUUCGCACGGUUCUGCGUGAUGAUGUUCACCGAGAUCCGCAUCCGGUUCCAGUCUAAAUCGCAACCCAAGAUUAAUCAUCAAACACGGCUUCCUAAAUUGCAAUCCAUGGAGGGACGACAUGCGAAGAUGCUUACUUGGAAGUGCCGCAGGCUUAAGUGUGGCCAUCCAGAGCACCUUGGAGACGGCGGUCCUCGGGAGGAGGACGAGCGCGGUGCGGUUGACGGCGGCGUCGGCGGCCAUGCGGAGCGCGUCCUUGACUUUGGCGUCGACGUCGGCGAGGGCGACGACGACGCUGGGGUUGUGCAUCUGGACGAUGCCGCGCAUGCUGGCGUAGACGGCCUGCAGGACGGGCACCUCGGAGCGCGACGGGCCGGACAGGGCGCCGAGCCCCAGGUCGAAUAUCUUGAACCGCCGGUCCUUGCACACCACCUUGGGCCACUUGAGCACCGUCGCGGCCUCCUCACAGGGGCAGUGCCCGCCGCCGGAGACGACGAGGUAGGCCUUGCGCCCGGGCGUGGUGCGGAACCGCUCGAGCAGCGGCGCCAGCGCCCUGACCUCGCCGAGGGAGUGCGCGUAGAAGAGCGCGUCCACCUUCUGCGGGUGCAUGGCCGCCCACUGCGUGACGUAGCCGGAGGUGAGCGCGCGCCACCACUGCUCGUCGCGCACCUGCACGAUGUCCUUGAAGAUGACGGUCGUCUCGGAGACGUAGGCGAGGCGGUGCUCGCUGUCCCCCCACGUCUCCUUGUCGUUCGGGUCCACGGGGAGCACGAAGGACCCCGCGCCCAUGUACUUCUGCAGCUGGUAGCUCAGGUGCAGGUCCUCGCCGGUCAUGAAGGUGAAGGGCGUCUCGAUGAAGAGUGUCUUCACGAGCUCGCCCGGGAGGAACCACGAGCUCGACAGGAAGUCCACCUGCACGAUGCGGUCGACGGUGAUGUCGUAGGCCGGGUCCGGGAGGUACAGCCCGGCCUCCUUUGAUCGGAACUUGCGGUAGCUCGGGAACGUGAAGUCCUUCUGCCGGAACGGCAGGAUGCGGCCGAUGCUGCCGAGCACGGCGUUGCCGUACUUCUCCGUGCCGCCGACGUGGCAGAGGAUCUCCAGCAUGCGGGCGCCCGGGAUCAUGUCGUCGUCAAGGACGUAGACGAAGUCCGACUCGGACUGCAGCGCCAUCUGGAACCGGCCGUAGUACUUGAAGUCGUAGCCGGAGGCGACGAAGCUGACGCGCGAGUCGUUGUAGCUCUCCACGAUGCGGCGGAGCGACGCCUCGUUGGGGCUCCCGAAGGAGAGCACCCAGGCGCGGUGGAACGGCAGCGUCUGCCGCCGCAGCUGGUCCAGCUGCGCGCACAGCGUCCGGCGCUUGAAGUGGUUGAGGAUGACGGUGACGCGCGGCACGUUUGGGCCCGACGCGCUCCACCGUGACCGCAUCCGGAGCAGCUCGGGGAGCGUCUCGGCGCCGAAGCUCAAGCGCUGGAACGCGAGGACCUCGUCGUAGAGCUCGCGCUUGAGGCGGAUCAUGACCUCGUCCGUCGACUUCUUCUGCUCGAAGUCGAUGCUCUCGUGCUCGCACACCUCCUGCGGGGACAGCGGCGGCGCGUCGCCGGGCUGCGUGGCGAUGAGCUGCUUCCAGUGCUGCGCGAGGCGGGUCGCCCACGCCAGGUCAGGCUUCACGCGCAUGUCCACGGCGGGGCUCAUGUAGUAGAGGAGGAAGGUGGCGUAUAUGGCGAACGCCAGCUGGAGGCACGUCAGCGUCGCUACCAGGCGGGUCGAGUUCCUCGCCCCGCCGCCGCGGGAGGGCUUGUUGCCGCCCUUACCGCCGCCGACGUAGUCGCCGAGCAUGCCGUCCAGGGAGUCGUUCCUGACGAUGUGCGCGCGGGUGACUCCCAUGGCGGGAACUCAGCUCCUCGCCGCCACCGCGAGGCCUGAUUUGAAAAACAGAGAGGGAAGAGUUUCAGAGGUCGCCUUUCAGUCUGCACCGCACAGACUGCAGAAGAGUUGCAGAGAGAAGGCAAUAGCAAACCCAACUAGUUAGUUAUCUUGCGACACCAUGUAACUGUGCUAAAAUUUUCAGUGUGCUAAAGAAAGAUUUUUAUGGGCUAUGAAUGAUGGACGAAUUGCUUGAUUAGUGAGCAUCCAAAUGAUGCAGUACGGAUUCAGCAAAGCGAACAGCCAAGGACAAGCAACGCAUACGAUUUCCUUUCUUCUUUUUUGAUGGUCAUGCAUGACUUUGUUUGAUUGUUGAUGCAGCUAUUUGCAAACUGCCGCAUGGUACUUGUAUGAAACAAAACAUGGUUUGAUUGAAAGGAGGGAAUUGUUACCUUGGCUGAAUUGAAAAGCCAGCAAGAAACACUUUCUCAGUUUUCAGAAAGAGAAGCAGCGGGUAAUCUCGUAUGGAAAGCCGCAGCAAUUUUUCAGGAGCAGAACCUAGGUAGAGUCAAAGCUGCAGCUAUGAUACAGAGUUGAGGCAGUGAAUCGAGGAUUCCAAGACCAAGAAGAGCAUGCAAUGAAUUGCAGGCCGGUAACGAAAGGGAGAUACAGGGGAGUUCAGACUCCAGAGAGGAAGCUUGGCUACUCUAUCGAUCAUGCAGGGACCCUAGGUUGCAGCGAGGCAGGAGACCUGCCUUUUAUAAGUGAGGCGAUCGCAAUGCAACUUCGUUGGGAGAAGAGUAAGGGGUGCCUGGCAACGUGGCACAUCACAUUGGCGCUGCUAAAAGAAAAAGAAAAUCAUUCGACGAGCAAAUCACUUGCUGCCUCGGCAAAAGACUGAAGCUUGGAGGAGGAGGAACAGGCACGAUCGACGACCGUGAGUGCGAGAGAAGCGAGGUCGAUCAAAGCGAGGGUUUGCUCUGCACAAAUGGAGCAGCCCUCGCCUCAGCACGGCUCGCUUGCAUGAUUGCUUCGCGUUACCUUCACAUCUCCUCGACUCCUCGUCAUGCACGAGAUCAUGGGCUUGCAAAAAGAAAAAGAAAGAAAGAAAGAAAGAAAGAAAGAGAAGGAUAAAAAGAAGGUAGCUUGAAUCCACCUCUGCGCCCGUAAAUUCUGACGAGCUCUGUUCCAUCGUGCAAUGCGCUCCGGGCUCAUUAACUUGCUGGUUCUGUCAUCUCCCUAUUCUGUUGGCAAGGGAAGCUGAUAGCGUUUCCAUGAAGCUAGAGUUUAAUGACGGGAAGGAGGAAACAAACAACUCCUCAACAUGUGCCAAUGGGUUUCAUUUCAUGUCCUCCUAGGCCUGAAAAGCUACGGGAGUAGGGAUAGCAACUGAAAUCACAAAUCUCCCUAGGCAGUAUUAUCUCAGUUCUUGGCUACCUCGCCCAGGAUCAACAUCUAUUGAUGCAGAGUUGCAGACUGGGUGAGACAGAACUGGUGCUUGAGGAAUUUUAGUGGUAAAUGGCAUCAUUUCAGACACUAAGUUCAGGACCUCAGGUAGCAUUAGCUAUGCUUCUGUAGUUCGAUCAGUUAAGCAAGGCUGUGCAAAUUUCCCUCGGCCGUGGCAGUAUUGUCUCAGUUCUUGGAUCAACAUAGGAUCAACAUCUAUUGAUGCAGACUGGUUGGGACGAAUGUGUCAUUUGAGAAAUUUCCAUGGAUUGAGUCCUAAUUCUCACAGUUCUAACAGCUGCCUAACCGUGCUCGGUUCCCAAGAAGAGAAAGAUGCGCACAAUGUCAAACACGUAGCUUCAAUCCUAGGUCAACCAAGGCACAAGGUGCCAGAUACGAGUGUGAGUCUGAAAAUGCUUAAAAAGCGCAGAGAGCAAAUGACCGCACAAGAGACGUUGUGAGGCGAGAGGGUGAAGGAAAGGGAGGAAAAAGGGGUCGGAUGCAUGCAGCUACUCCAAGCGACAGGUGCAUGAUAUUGCAGCACAUCCACCACCGGCGAUCACGGAUCUUAAGACAUCUAGAGAUCAGCGAUGCCGGUGCUCCAAACUAGACUGGAAUGUACGCGAACAUUGCGAUCGAGCUUGCUGCAGAUUGAGGGCAAAGAUGCUAGUGUGAAUUGGAAAAAGAAAACAAUAUUUCUUUGUUUUCUGUACUCAGCCGAAGAACAUCAAUUCUUUCCUCUGGAGAUUCUUUGUCAAAUUAUAUUGUGCUCAUCUUGAGGCCGGGCAGCAGGCAGUAUAUAAUUUGACAGGCAGUACCAAGUAGCAGCUGCACUAGUAAUAUCUUUCUGUUUCUACUUUCUACCAUUGUUUUUUUAUCCUGGACGAAAAAAAUUGCACUAAAUCUUUAUUGCAAGAUUUGGAAUUGGUCUGAACUGAAUGUAGGCCAUGAAAAAGAAGUUCAAUCAAAUUUUCGUCCUACUUGGGUUUAAGUUCCAGUCUGAUUGGAUUUACAGGCGAGCUGUUGCUGAACCAGCUAUCAUUGAUCACAAUCUGUUUUUGAAAGACCUUGGGCUCCCUGUUGUAAAUUAUAUGUUGUACGCUAGUGAAAACAAUUUAACAGCAUCCGAAAGGUUCAGUUACUCUGUGUUUGAUGUAUCUUGCAGUCACAAACAUGUCUUGUUCAGAAUCAUUUCUGCAUAUGGGAAUUGGGAACAUGAUUGAUUACCACGACUGCGACUAGGAAGGCGAAGCAUUAAGCUUGGCACCUCCAGGAUGCAGGGGUCAGAUCUUGACAGGAGGGAUACAAAUCACUGACCUGUGCUCUUUAACUUUUUGGCACGUUUGCCAAGCUCAGAAAUACAGCAUAUUAUUCUAGCACCGCGACUGACUGUAUUACUGUAUAUGCACUGACCUAGUAACGUACAAGCAUAAGCCUAUUUCCUUUAGCUCGUUGACCUCGACCAGGAGGCGUCGGCUUGCGGCCACCGUGGGAUUCUCAAAAGGAGAAAACCGCGGCCAACAGAUUCAGUGACUACCACGCUAGUGCUGUAAUGCCGUGCAGCAAGUCAAACGGGGCUUAAAAAUUGGACGCGGCCAAACAGAAUCAGUACGCGUUCUUACGCCGAUGCAUGCAUGCUACGCUGGAAGAAGCGGUGGGGGAAUCCACAGCGUUCCAACCUCGCCGAGGCCACGGAAGCAGUACGUCGGCAUCGCCGCGGCGAGGCGCUGCAGGCGGCGGACACAAAAAUGGAGGCCUGAGAUGCGAGCAGCGGGGGAGGAGAAUGUGAGGCUCAGGACGUGGUGGGAAACGGGAUGCGCGUACGUACGCCAGGUGAUGCUUCUGUGUUCUGGGCAACAAACAUGGCGGCCGCGAGGGAGGAAGACGCCGGCGGCAGCCGCCCGCCGUGGAGCACAAUGCGGCGAUUGGAGGCGCGCCGGCGAUGCUUUUUUCCGAGAAUACAUAGGAAAGCUGCGUAUCUUUUCAUUAAGAAGAGAAAUGAAUAAGUUCUUACAACGCGGACCUCCCCGGACGUACGUACACGGAUGUUUUACAUAUUGGAUGCUACAUUACGCAAACCAAACACAACUAAGGAAAGGGCAGGGGUACUAGCACAGGGCUAAGGUGGUUGCGCUCCAUCGGCUGCAGCCGGCCAUCCUAGGACUUUCGUAACGGCAGUUCGUAGGAGGGGUCCAGGCUGCGCCUUAGACCUGUGAUUUAUCCUUUAACUAAACUCUUUUUCUAGCAGUUCUUGGAUUCAUGAAUGCCCAUGGCAGUUGAAUGACAAAAGGUAGUUCUUGUAUGACUUCUGCAACAACAUUUGCAUGGUUAGAACCAUAGUAUAUAUGAUCCCAUACUUUGGACGCCACUCAAAGCAUUCCAUACACGAAUUUUUAAUUUGGUGUCUUUGUUCAUUGGGUCUGCAAGGCAUUCUCUACAAUGGAAGCCCCAAUGGAGCAUUGGAGGAAACCACAAUCUCAGCAGAGGAAACAAAAACUCCAGCAGUUAAAUUUUAGCAUUCUUGCAUGUUGUUUUAUUCCAGAUGGGUUUUGGUUGCACAAUUGGAUCGGAUAAUGGACGCGAUAUGGUAGCCGGAGUUGGUUGAUUGCCACACGUUGCCGUGGUACCGCUGUUAGUCAGAGUACUCCUUAUUGUUCAUUUAGUAGUACAUUGCUCGGUGAAUGUGAAGAAGUAGGCCGUCGAGUGUCUUCAAGCUGAUCACCCACCAAGAUUGAGUAACUCAGAUUGGCUGCAGUGUAAUCAGGAAGAAAACAAUUGUGCAGAUGACACCAUAGGCCUAUAACUCUAAGUAGCACUUCCAGGUAGAUGGGGCUUCAACACGAACUUGGGGCUAGAAGUAUUUCUUGAAUCAUGAAAAUAUUUGUAUGUACUGUUUCAGAUCUAUAUUGUUCAAGUCAACGGCACUGCUAGACAUCGCUGUUGGUUUGGUACAAAUAAAACAUGAAAAAAAAUUGCUCUUCCUUACCAAAACUCAGAAUGACUGGCAUGCAAGGUUUUUCAUUGACAUUUGACAAAUCUGCCAAUCACAUGUGAUGCUAGUAGCCACUUGUUUUGCUUUUUCUUUUCCAUGGAAAUCCACACACACAUAUAUUGUCAAAUUGUUAUGAUGAUAAACUGCAUGCAAGCUAAAAACUAAUCAAAUGUGACUACCACUAAGGCUUCUCUGUUUUGAUUGGAGAAUAUAGCUUUACAGGAAGCAUGAUAAAAACGAUAUUACAGCAAACAGACUGAUUGUCCUCUUUGUCUUCCCCCCUUUAUUUGGGAAGCAUGGGAUAGUUGGGUAUUUGGGAACAAAACAAACAUUUGGGGUGGGACUGAAUGUAAAGAAAAAAAUAACAAGUAUAAUCAUGCCCAUGUAAAAAAAACGGUGAUGGCAUUGGCAUCAAUAUGUGUGUUCCUUUAUUAGGCCAUUAGCCCUUCUAUUUGAGAUUUAUUCACUCAAAGAAUGGCCAUGUGAGGAUUCAUUCAUUCUGAAAAAUGCUAAUACAAGGUCGAUUAAUAUCAACCCCAAACUGGUUGGCUGAUUGCACGAGCUAUCCAUUUUUCUUCAAAUUAUAUCUACUCGAGUGGGAGCUGUGAUCCGGCAUCAGACUUGCCAGGCAGGUGUGAUUGCGCGUGAGCUCAAGCAAGCAAGCAAGCGCGCGGCGUGGCUGCACGGCCAGCUACACUCGUCGCCCCUUCACAAGCCCAGCCGGUACCUCUUCUUGUCUGCUCUCUCGUCUUGGUUACCGCUCACGGCCGCGUCGCUGGUUUGCAGCAUGCCAGCAUGUGUGCCGUGCAAAUUGUUCGAUUAUUUGUUCACAAUGAGCACCAAGUUUUCACUUGCAGUUUCUUUGUCGCAUUUGCUACUGUUAGAAGCAGACUAGACUGUACACCUUUGCUGUGACAUGACUUUUGCCCUGGACGCCAAUCUUUAUUUGAAUUCAUGAGUGCAUUGCUGAAGCUGCAUACGCCUGGUGUAAACAAACAUGGUAUCGGUGGCCGCGAGGGAGGAAGACGACGGGAUGGUGGCAGCCGCCGUGGAGCGCAAUGCGAUAAAGGGAGGCGCGCUGGAAACGGCGGCCGCGGAUAUGGCAGUAAGGGAAGGUGCUGCGACGCUUUGAGGACCGGCCGGCGGUUCUGAUCGCGACGGCGCGGCGAGCAGGAGCGCGCGCUGGGAGGGUCGGGGUGGACGGUAUUUCAUUUACCGUCCGGGCCUGGGUUCUAUGGAUCGUUGGAUCCGGAGGCUGCGGCCACGAUUCGACUCGACGGACUGACGGGCAGCGUUGUCUUGUCUGGGCCAAGCGGAGGCCCAGUAACUGGAGCCACACGCGUUUCAUUCAGCUGAGGCCCGUUCGUCGUCGAUGAGCCUGAGACGUCGUCUGCCGUCGCCGGUGCACGCCGCAGAUGGUGGGCGGAGGUCCAUGCUUCUACCGCUACCGGUGUCAUCAUGCUGCUUGGAGGGUGGACAACUGACGCUCGCUAGCAUUAUUGGUUCAAUAUCACCUUCUUGACAGCCAUUUUCUCUUCAUCGUCUGGAUUGUGGUAUGAUCAGGAGUGCUGAUGAUGCACCAUAAGCAAGAAUCGGCACUCAUUGCAGCAUAGAGGAAAUCAACUUCUUUAGUGAUAGCGGAGGGUGCAGAGAAAUACUUAUCGAUCGUGGGGUUCGUUUUGACAAACGCUCUCGGCACACGCAUUUGACAGAUAAUGUCAAAAUGCUGUGAUGAUAAAUUGCACACGGGUUCAGAUCUCAUUGACCAUAACUAGGAUUGACUUAUAAUAGUUCUCACAUCAUUUUCUAAAUUCAUUCUGAAAUGUUUUCUAUAUAUUAUUCCAUGCCCCGCGCAGACUCCUCAUUGCUGCUCUGCUUGCCAGAAAACAUUAGGAAUGAAAAACACAGCUCAGGGCAAGCAUGAUAAUUUGCUAAGUGGAACAUUUUUGUCAAACUGAAUGUAACAGGGGAAAAAAACAAAUCUAAACAGGCCCAAAGAAAACACAGAUGGCAUGAAUCUGUGUGUUCCCUUUAGCUAGGCUCUUUUUUUUUUUGCGAGUAAAAAGAGAGCUUUGUUAACUAGGAGGACAUAGAUUACAGUCGUCUUUGACGAGGUCAAGUAUGCACGCAGGCGCUUGGCCAAGCCAUACCGCCGUAUGCGUAUUCCUUCUAGCUAAUAAGGCUAAUUCAUUUGCAACUAAAUUACACUCUCUUUUCACCUGUGUUACUCUCCAUUCCUCAAGCAAUUGUGUUUGUUCUAUUGCCGCAGCAACUAUGAAGCUCAGUUCUGAUUUAUCUUCCUUCUUCCGCAACGCCCUAACCAUUCUCGCGCAGUCCGACUCGAUGAUCACAGGCCCUUGGACCCAUUGCGUUGCUAGUCGAAUUCCGUCUUCGCAAGCUUUCGCCUCAGCUCAGUCGCAUCUGCGCAUCUAAACAACACUCUCCAUGCUGUGAACAAGACAUCUUGCUUGCCUGUUUCCUUACCUGUUCCAGAGAUUCCCGUAAACACAAGAGAUAAUGCACUGAGCUGGUGAUGCAUGAUGGGCCAGAUUGGUGACUGACCAAGCCCUCCAGAGAACAAGCUUGGUUAAAACUCUUUGUUCGUUCGAACAUCUCUCCAGAAGUAACAACAGCCAAUCAGGGCCAGUGUAAACGAAUAAUGCCUCAGCUGGUAGGGACCAAUGAUCACGCAUCGCUAAACGGAGACUUCGUGCUUGAGGGCAAGCCACCGUGGCAUGAAAGCUAGUCUCUACUUCCUGCCCACAAAGGUCGCAGAUGUCCUCCACUUCUAAUUUUCUGAUGAGCUUAUUUCUCUUGGUUGGGAACAUAGUUUCCACGUGAAGAUAUUAACCUUCGUUGGAAUGUUACCUUCCCAGACACAAUUCCAUAACUUUCGGUCACCAUCUGGCAGUAAACUUGUUGCUGUGCUAACCUGCAUGUCCCGCAAUUUCAAUGCCAAGUUAUAAGCACUCCGCACGGUAAAGAUCCCAGGUUUUUCCAUGUGCAAAGCGAUGAAAUCUUCUGAAGCUCUCUCUGGCAGCUUGAUCUUUGCAAUUGCAUCUGCAUCCGCAGGAUUAAAAAUGCCUAGGAGCUUGUCAUAGUCCCAAUUACGCCCUGAUAUAUCCAACAAUUCAGAUACCCAUCUUAGGCGGCAACGCCCCUGCCUUGAUGUUACAUUCAUCGAAUACUCUCUUGGAAUCCAUGGGUCACGCCAGAUGCGGACCUGUGAGCCACAUCCUAUUCGCCAAAUAAUUCCUUUUUUUAGGAGUUCGAGACCAUGCAUANNNNNNNNNNNNNNNNNNNNNNNNNNNNNNNNNNNNNNNNNNNNNNNNNNNNNNNNNNNNNNNNNNNNNNNNNNNNNNNNNNNNNNNNNNNNNNNNNNNNUAAGCUCAAAUGUGGCUCUCUCCACCCCAAGUAUCUGUUUAACCUGAUCAUGUGUUUCCUGCUGCCCUUUCUCAUUGAACACUAUAGAGCAUUUUGACGGAUUAAUCAAUUGGCCUGUGCAUCGAGUAUAUAUGUUCAGCAACUCUUUAACCUGGCUAGCCUGAUCCGUGGUGGCCUUGAGGAAGAGUAAUGUGUCAUAUGCAAAUAGUAGAUGCGAGAUGCCAGGAGCUCCCCUGCAAAUCUGUAGCUCAUGCAAAGCACCACUCUGAACUUUACUGUUGAUCAAUUCUGACAUACCAUCAGCAACAAAGAGAAGUAAAUAUGGCGAAAGCGGAUCACCUUGGCGAAGACCGCGUGUUAGAGUGAACGGUGUCGACAUGACACCAUUGAAGCAGACCGAGUAGCGUACCGAUGUCACGCAAGUCAUGACACGCUGUACCCAUGAGCUUCGAAAGCCUAGCUUCAGCAAAACAUUGUUCAAAAAACUGCAAUCCACCGUCAUAUGCCUUGGAAAGAACAAGCUUUUAAAUUGGAGAUUUUAUAUCACUCGAAGAAUAGAGCCGUGUACUAAGAAAUCAUUCAUUCUGAAAACGUGACCCGUUUUCAUGUCACGUGGAGUCGUGGAGCGCACACGAGAAAAAUGUGUUGAUUGAUAGUAACAAGGUUCUUGCAACAAUAGAAUUGGUUGGCUGAUUGUGAUUGCGGAAGGCAAAUGGCAAAUUAGACAUGCAUGAAAACGGGCUGGUCUGGGAAACCCCCAAUGCCGCGGAGGCGCGGAGACGAACACGAAGAAGCUGGAGGCCCGUCUUUUGUGGCGGCCCGUUGAACAAUUUGACGUCUCCAUCGUCCUGGAUCAAUUCCCCCGUGGCCCAGUCCACCGUGAGAACUGUAGUGUGCUUUACGCUAAGCCCAUGAGACCAAGCCCACACCGUCCGUUGCCAUCCCCAUUGUCCCGACUCUCGGAGGUUCCUUCACUCUCCAAAUCUCCAAUCACUCUCCCAGUCACAGUACAGCGCCGCCUCUUCUGUGCAGGCACCUCACCGGCGGCCACCUCUCCUCCGCUCCUACCACUUUACCAGCCAACAUGCCGUCGGAAGCCGCCGCUCCCUGCACAGUACUGUAGCCUGCCUGAGCCCCUCCAUUCGCAACCAAAUACCCGAGAGCCGAGGACGAGGGAAAUCCUCAAAAUGCUGGGGAAAUGCCGGAGGCCGGCGCCGCGGGACGGCGACGGCGACGGCGACGCGACGGCCAUCCUCGACGACGCGGACCUGGAGGAGAUUCUCCUGCGCCUCCCCUCGGCGGCCGACCUAGCGCGCUCCGCCGCCCUCGUCUGCCGUCGCUGGCGCCGCGUCUCCUCCGCCCCCGCCUUCCUCCGCCGGUUCCGCCGCCUCCACCCGCCCCAGAUCCUCGGAUUUUUCAUCUGCAAAGGCGGCCGCCCCCACCGGUACGACGUGCUCAACCGGUCUCCCCUCCCAGUGCUCGACCCUACCUUCCUGCCGGUGGUCGCGCCUAAUCCCGGCGUCGGCGGCGCCGUCGGCCGAUGCCGGGAUUUCUCCCUCAGCUCGCUCCCCACAGUCGACCAUUGGUCCCUCGCCGACUCUCGCGAUGGCCUCCUGCUCUUCUGCUCGUCCUGCGACCGCUCUACCAAUGAUCGCGACCUUCCGGACCUCAGGGACAUCCCCAAGCACUUCGCCGUCUGCGACCCCUUGUCAGGCCACUCUAUCCUCUUGCCCAAGCCUGGUGCCGGCCUGUACCUUGGGUCUUAUUACCUAGGCGCUGCUUUGGUAAUCAGUGACAAAGACGAGGGGGGCACUGGCAUCUUCUCCUUCGAGGUGCUCAUUGCAACAUACGUUCUUAGGGAGGGGCCGUGCCUCUGUGCUUUCUCCUCAAGCUCACGACAAUGGGUAGUGCUCCCAUGCCCUGACACUUACGAACUUUACAAUUAUGAGACGCCCUGGAUCGAUGAUGGUGCCCGUGACAGUGGGCAUGUCUAUUGGGUCGUACACGACUGGGGAAUGGACUACGAGCAUAUCCUGGUGCUGGACUUGCAAACCAAGAAGUUCUCCACCAUCAAUCUGCCAUGCAGCGGCAUGUGUGAUAAGUACAACAGGAACAUCAAGGUCAUGAGGAGCGAGGGUGACAGGGACCUCCGUGUCGUGGCAAUGGCGUGGUCCCGCUGUGCACUCCAUUUCUGGCGUCAUGACAGGAGCAGGAGUGCCAAAGGCCGAUGGUUGAAAGAGGAUGUCGUGAAGUUUUCGGGUGUGGAUGGGUUGCUUGAUCUCAGAAUGGCAGGUGGAUCUGGUAACAGUUAUUUGAUUAGGAUUGUAGAUGCUGGAGAGGGAUUUGUUUUCAUCAAGCACUAUGAGGCUCCCUGGGUGUUUGUCCUCAAUCUCAAGGAAAUGACAAUGCAAAAGCUGCCAAAUAGGGAACGGUUCUGUGGGCAUGCACUUCCCUACAGGAUGGCUUUGUCUCCCCACUUACCAAAUUUCAGAGAAGGGAACCACUGAGCAAACAAGAAAGGAACCACUGAUCUAGGUAAGGCAUUAAAUCAUUCUCAUUUCAUUUCAUUUAUUUCUUCAACGAUUGUAAUUUUUGUUUGCUGAGCCAGUAUAUGUCUCAUAGUGCUUUUUUAUAAGCACUGCGUGAGAUCUACUUGUGGAAGCAUUCCAUGUGAGAAUCAGGUGUUUUUUCUUUGUUAUCCUGCAAUCAUACAGCAAUUGAUGGAUUGCCUAUUUGGAAUACCUGGUAUAAAAUGCUGAAUAAUGCUCCAAAUUUUAUGACCCUGGGAAUUCUUGAAAAUAUAUGCAAUAAAAGGAAUAGCUACGAUGGCACUUCAUGAAUUAGCACUGAAAAACAUCCCAUGUAACUUGCUUUGUGGUCAGUUUUACAAAAAGAAAAGCACAAGUAUUAUGGAUGAAUAAACUAAAACAGUGACUAAUUGCAUAUUCUCCAUUUCAAACAUGUGCAGUUUUUAAUCUACCAGUGAAUAAAUUGAUUGCUAGCAUGCAUGGGCGGAGCCAGAAAUGGCUUCCACCCAGGGCUGGACCCAUGGAUAAGUGCUGAGGUAGCUAAAUUUGAGCAAAAUUCUAGUGUUUUGGACCUAGGAACUUCGUGUAUUGGCCUGAGAUGCACUGCGCUGGACCCAUGCUACAGCACACCCAGCAUAGGCCCUAGCUCUGCCCCUGCUAGCAUGCUACUGCAAAGGUUUGUUUGGCACUGGCACUGCUAUCCCUUUUCUCUUCUAAACAAAUCUGCAAAUUAUUCUUACUCCUUCAUCCCAUCUCUUUCCCACUUUCCCAUUGAUUGCACCUUGCCUAUGAAUAUGAUUUUCCCUUCCUCACCCCAGCCUCGUCUCUUGAGCUCUGGGAGACUGGGACCAUGAAUAUGGUUUCCCCUUCCUCACACUGGCAUCUUCUCUUGAGCUCUGUCAGACUAGGACGACAUAAGCAGCUCCAGUUCUACGUGAUAUGCAAUCUCCAUAAUCAAUACGCCUAGAGGUUGAUCCAAACUUCAAACACAAUGAUGUAUCGAUUAUAUGAUUUACCUUUUCUUAAGUGGAUAACAAAAAAAUAGCAGAAUCAUAUCAGAAGUUUGGCUUUUCUCAAGCUAAGUUCCAUCUCUGCCAAAUUAUCACAUCAUGUGCUCCCAGAUCCAUUGUCAACAUGUCACUUUUUUAAAAACAACUAGUUGCCAAACCUUCUGGGUCAUGAUCUAUCUACCAUACCUUUCGAGCCAAAUGAAUAGCUCAAUGGUCUAGUCAGUAGUGACCAUUCCACAGCCUACGCCGUCAUUUGGUUCUUAGCGCAAUCUAAAUUUUAUUUGAUCCAUCCGUAUGGAAGUUUUGUCCUGUGCACUUAACACAUGAGUGCUUGCAUAGAUUUUGCACUUCAGGACACAGCUCAACUAGAUUUAUGAUGCCACACGUGACCAUAGCCCGAGCCCCCACGUCUCCGUCAUGUGUCACAACAUUUGGAGCAUGCCGGUCCAGUCGGUAAAAUCUGACUGUCCAGUAUCCAGAACUUCAAAAACUCGGUGCAAUGCCUGUUCUCCUUUAGCCCUGGCAGCGCGUUGUUUUUUAGUUUCAUUACUAACCUAUUAAGAAAUUGCAUAGCACUAGAAUCGGUGGAUAGGUUCUUCUCUAGUUGCGUAUUGGCAAUUUGGCAAGCAGACACCAUGUUUUACUUGACAUGUCCCCGGUUUAAAAUGUCCCCUAUACUAUAUUUACUCUGAACAUCAGCAUUUUAUAAGCUCAAUUGUCCAUUGUGAUAUGUGGUGAUGCUAUCAAGCUUUCCCCACAUGUGCUAUUUGCUAAAAGAAAACAAAAGGAAAUACUUUGCAGCUUAGCCAUCCUUUUGGAUAAUAGGGGCUAUGUUCUGAGCUCCAUCCAUUAUUUGUAAAGUAAACCAGUAGCACAUAGUAUUCAGGUCUCUCUUCUGUUAUUCAGAUAGCUGAGAGCCUGUGCACUGUACUGUUAUACUGUUAUACACUUCUUCCAAUUAUUUAUUCCAAGUGGUAAUUUAGUUUUGGAUUUUGAUUAUAUGGUUUGUUAUUUUAUGUAUAAUUUUGUUUUAAUGAUUUAACAUGUAAAAUAGUCAUCGUUAUGGUGGCUGUAUGUUGAGUCUAUUCAGCCACGUCAGAAGCUAGAGUUAGGUUUUGAGAAGUGGAAUCAGGAACAUCUAUCUUGCUUGCAAGCAAUAGACAUGUUCGGUGAUCUGCUGCUUUUGCUCUUUUUCCUGUACUAAAUAGUUAAAAAAAUCUCUGAAACAGUUUGGAUUUCUUCUCUCUCUCUCUCUAGUGUGGUUUAUUGUGUUUGUCAGCAUGAGUACAUGUGAUCUGUAGUUUGAUUAAUGAAUGUCACCCUGUUUUUUUUCCAGUGAGAUGGACAUUGUCGUUAGCCAUCAGGGGCAGGAUGUAGAAGGUGAGUUAUCAAUACAAUUUCUGCUCGUAUGUGCUUUUGAUGCCCAAUUUUUCUUGUUUCCGUGCUGCCAAAUGUCAAUUGGCAUGCCCCGUGUGGAUUGCAAGUUUAAUCACAACGCUUCUAUUGCAGGCACUGUUUGAAGGGAACUACGGGAAACGGACUUGGUUGCUUGUUUUCCUCCGCUAGUUUAUUCAGUUUGCGAGUUAGCUAUGCCGGUAGACUGGUGAACUAUGUGGUAUUAUGCGUGUGAUGUAUGGUGCGUGUUUUAUUUUAGCAUGCUGCUUGUGAAUGUUCGUGUGCUUCCUUCUGUUAUUUUCAAUGGUGAACUAUGUGGUACUCCCUCCGCUAUCGUGUUAGCUUUUUUAGAUAUAUAUAUUUUGCUAUGCACCUAAAUGUUAUGUGUAGACAUAGCAAAAUCCAUGUAAGUCAAAACGAUCUACAUUUUGAAACGGAAUGCACGUGAGUUAAGAGAGGACGGUGAAGACGUGGUUAAUUGGAAAAGGAAAAAAGAAAAGCAAGGAUAGGUGACGUGGACCACAGGAGAUUUCUUGCAUGUUAGUUCAAGCCUCCUUUUGGAGUCAGAUAGCACCAAACUGCUGUCAGGUAUAGCUCCAAGAAGCGUUGUUAGUUCCAAGCAGUUAUUAGUCCAAAAGCUAUUCAUCGAUACUAGAAUGAUGCUGUGGACACAAAACCGCCUACCGGAUUACUUGACAGUAAAGUCAAAUUUGUGACGUCAUUGCAAAAACGAGAGACAACUCAACCAAAUGGUACAGCCUUUUAUUGUCCAUCCAGCAAGAAUGCUGAAACAAAUAAUAUGUUUCACAGCAAAAGCAACCUAUAUAUAGCAAAUUAUACAGUUACAACUACAUGGGCGCUUGUAGUAUCAAGGCUUUGCAUCCAACACAACACGGUAGUUGUAGCGUCGCCCUCGUUCACUUGUUUGCUAGUAUUUGCUAUUUAGUAGGUACAGUAUCCAACAUGGAUUGUAAAAAGAAUAGUGACGAAAAUUAUACCCACCCACCCCAAAAGAAACAAGAAAUCAUACACAAAGCAAAACCAGGCGACCAAAAUACAUAUGCCUCCUAAACUGUUUCUCAAACCCCCACCGCAUAAUCUGUGGUU
Molecule: long non-coding RNA, 17658 nt
Filed under: Setaria italica (foxtail millet)
Lineage: Eukaryota; Viridiplantae; Streptophyta; Magnoliopsida; Poales; Poaceae
Description: long non-coding RNA (SITA_LNC000773)
Source: RNAcentral